GCGACGGCUGAUCGAGCAGGGCGUGAUCGGUGACUUCCGGUCGCCCGAUGUCCUGCGGUUCGGAUUCACGCCGCUGUAC
This 79-nucleotide transfer RNA is filed under the name Streptomyces longisporoflavus. RNAcentral describes it as "tRNA-Gly". Lineage: Bacteria; Bacillati; Actinomycetota; Actinomycetes; Kitasatosporales; Streptomycetaceae. The record is from RNAcentral.